GAUGAACGCUGGCGGCGUGCCUAACACAUGCAAGUCGAACGAGGCAAAUAAGUUGAAGUUUUCGGAUGGAUUCUUAUUUACCGAGUGGCGGACGGGUGAGUAACGCGUGGGUAACCUGCCUCACACUGGGGGAUAACAGUCAGAAAUGACUGCUAAUACCGCAUAAGCGCACGGAACCGCAUGGUUUUGUGUGAAAAACUCCGGUGGUAUGAGAUGGACCCGCGUCUGAUUAGCUAGUUGGAGGGGUAACGGCCCACCAAGGCGACGAUCAGUAGCCGACCUGAGAGGGUGACCGGCCACAUUGGGACUGAGACACGGCCCAA
This 323-nucleotide ribosomal RNA is filed under the name uncultured bacterium. RNAcentral's name for it is "bacterial SSU rRNA". It matches the Rfam family "Bacterial small subunit ribosomal RNA", at positions 28 to 334 of the family's 1533-position model. The record is from RNAcentral.